AUUGAACGCUGGCGGCAGGCCUAACACAUGCAAGUCGAGCGGAUGAAGGGAGCUUGCUCCUGGAUUCAGCGGCGGACGGGUGAGUAAUGCCUAGGAAUCUGCCUGGUAGUGGGGGAUAACGUCCGGAAACGGGCGCUAAUACCGCAUACGUCCUGAGGGAGAAAGUGGUGGAUCUUCGGACCUCACGCUAUCAGAUGAGCCUAGGUCGGAUUAGCUAGUUGGUGGGGUAAAGGCCUACCAAGGCGACGAUCCGUAACUGGUCUGAGAGGAUGAUCAGUCACACUGGAACUGAGACACGGUCCAGACUCCUACGGGAGGCAGCAGUGGGGAAUAUUGGACAAUGGGCGAAAGCCUGGUCCAGCCAUGCCGCGUGUGUGAAGAAGGUCUUCGGAUUGUAAAGCACUUUAAGUUGGGAGGAAGGGCAGUAAGUUAAUACCUUGCUGUUUUGACGUUACCAACAGAAUAAGCACCGGCUAACUUCGUG
RNAcentral lists this ribosomal RNA (484 nucleotides) under uncultured bacterium. Its description in RNAcentral is "partial 16S ribosomal RNA". It matches the Rfam family "Bacterial small subunit ribosomal RNA", at positions 30 to 507 of the family's 1533-position model. The record is from RNAcentral.